This 6507-nucleotide long non-coding RNA is filed under the name Salmo salar (Atlantic salmon). RNAcentral describes it as "lncRNA (ENSSSAG00000098554.1)". Lineage: Eukaryota; Metazoa; Chordata; Actinopteri; Salmoniformes; Salmonidae. The record is from RNAcentral.
UAUACAGUAGUCAGGGUAACAUGACUGUCUCUCACAGAGAGAAAAACAUCCUCUGGAAAUGAUUAACAUAAGGACAAUAGCACGAGUUUGAGAUUAGGUGAAACAAAAUGUUGCUCUCGGAUACCGUGGCACUACUGCAUCAUGAGCCUACCCUUUGCAGUGAAUCAGUUUUACUAAUGUGAUUAGGAACAGUAUGUCUAUUCAGACAUCCACAUAAUUCCAUCCUGAGGUUCUCACAGUGACCAUAGCGUUCCCUAUUAAAGUCACUCCUCCCUCAAGACCAACAUACAAAACAGGCCAUGACUAAAAGGUUUAGUUCCAUGUCAAAGUCAUUGGAGUAGCACCAUCAUCUUCUUCAGCAACUAGAAUGUCUUGUCAACGUAUGGUCACCUUGGUGCUCCUGGUUUUCCUAUUGCUUAAUAUUGUGGAGAAUGAGGCUGCAUCAUUUCCCUUCUCUUGCCCCACCCUGAGUGGAGUCUGUCGAAAACUUUGCCUGCCAACAGAGAUGUUCUUUGGACCACUGGGCUGUGGAAAGGGAUUCUUGUGCUGUGUUUCUCAUUUCUUAUGACAACUGAAUAAUUACUAGAUUGUUUCUGAUCAAUCACACAUGAAGACAUCACCAUCCCCAUUUAUGGUCUUUCUUCUUAUGUCCCUCCACCUGACCUUGGAUUCUGUGGACUGCCUUCCAUGACUUAACUGUGUGUCUAACUACCUUUAUAUUUAUUUGUUGCAGUUUUCUGUUUGUAACACCCCCCAAAUAUAACAUAUCCUACUUUGUAUCUAAUAGUAUUUCAUUGCAAGAAUCACCACCAUCAUCACAGCUUAGAUGAUGGUGGUGGCGGGGUGGGAUGAUAAAUACACUGGGAAAACAAUGUAAUAAAUGCAUGUAUUAGUGAUACAGUUCUCCUGUGAGGAGUGGAUGGUUAUAAAAGCUGUUCUGUUAUAUUAUGGUGCUAUUAUGGUACUCUUGUUUGGAAGAACUUAUAAAGCAUAAAGGGGCAAUCUGUGAUUGCUACAUCCAUUGUUUUUGUCAAAAUGCACAAGCUCAGAAAAUUUGGUUGGAAAUCAUUGAUGGACAGCCAUGUUCAAACUUUGUUUUUAUUAAUUAAGAAACAUUUCUAUAAUGUAGGUUGUAUAAAUACUGUAAGUAGGAAACAAAUCCAAUUGAAUCCCUUUUAAGAUUGAAUUUUAAGGCAGCAAAAUGUGAAAACUGUGCAAGGGCUAUGUAGACUUCCGCUAGGCAUUGUUAAUAUCCACUGACUCUCGAAGAAUAUAACUUAUAAAUGCCUCAUGAGCUUAGUUCAACUGUCUUACCCCAUCAGAACCCCAAAUAUAAGCUUGUUUUACCACAUUGUUUGUAAACAAUGCCAUUGUAAACAAACACUCUAUAAACAAUUCCAUUGUAAACAAACACUGUAUAAAAACAUGGUUAAAACUAUUUCUCUAUGAAUUCAAGAAUGGUUACAUUUCUCCAGCCCAGCCCCAUCCCUCAGCUAUUUAAUAAAUAAGUGGCAGGGUGUCAGCUUUGUUAUUCUUUGUUUUACAGAUUUCCCCUUUAAUCCAGAGGGGUUUCUUUGGGGGGGGGGGGGGGUUAGCAAAGAAAAUACACAUUUGGGAUUCAUUCAGAAGUCAAGUUAUGUCUCCUUAAAAGUAUCUUCUCUGUGUGAUAAUACACAUUUACCGGUAAUAAGGCAUGUGAUAAAACUAAGCCUAGGGUUCUGUGGAGAAAAGCAUUUACAGUCACUGGUGUGCGUGGCCGAAGAGCUCUAUUUUCACGUCAUCUGACUAUAGCAGCGGUUCCUGGCCAUGUGCCAUUGCCGUUUAUCAAACUUAGCCUAGGCAGCUGAUAGUGGGUGCUAGAUCUGCACUAUUGUUUAUGAUUGAUGCGCAUAGCAGGUAAUACUCUCCUGUCCCCUGUGGACCAGCUUGUACAUAAAGCAUCUUCCAUUCAGGCAGCAAGGUAUGAUUUUCCACUUUAACUAGCUUAAAAUGACGGGCCGUCUGAAAAACAAAUGUGUACUGUCUUAAUAAAACACCAUCUUCCACCACUGCUGUACACCUUUAGCUGAACGUGGUGUGCAACAUCCUAAGUUAUCAGAAAAUGGUUGUGGACAUUUUUGUUUUAUUAAGACAGCACACAUUUCUCUUCAGAUGGCGCGCCAUUAAAGCUAGUUAAAGAGGAAAGUAAUGCCUUUGCAGCCUGAAUGGAGGAUACUAUAUUUACCAGCCGGUCCACAAGGGACACUAGUGUAUUACUGGCUAGGCACAUCAAUCCUAAACGAUAGCGCAGAUCUAGCGCCCACUAUCCUGGCAACGAAUGUUCCGCCCUCACAGGCCCCUGAGCCUAAGUAAGGAUAUGAUUGGAAUGGAAUAUUGUCUUUUAAAGACAAAGAAGUGGGAAGUAAUAAAACUUUUCAUGAUGUAGUCCACCCUAAAACCCCACCAAAGAAGAAGAAGCUCAUGGAGAUCUCCAAGAACAGCGGUUCCCAAACUAGCGGUUGCAACCCCAUGUGAUAUGAAAAUGGGGUUGCAGGAGAAUUGUCAAAAUCCUGGUAAAAAAAAAUGUAUGUAAUAAUAAUAAUAUUGUAACAUCGUCUUUGUCUCUCAAAAUCAUUGUAAUGUGGUUAAUCUUAAAAAUCUAAAUGAAAAUCCUUCAAAUCUUAAAUCGUGGGAAAAGGCAGCACUUGACUGUUGGACUUGAAUCAUUCACAUGAUGAAUGGCUAAGCCCGCUACGCUAGCAAACCACACACUAUUGCAGAGACUUUCAUAUUACCAGCCGCAAUUGAUAUGGUGAAAACAAUGUGUCGGGAGGCACCGAAACUCACAUCAAUACCUAAAAAAUUGGACUGAACAACUCCGAAACUCCCCACCUUAUGCUCUCCAAAUGGACGUUAGCUGUGAGGGCUGGGAUGCAUUGACCUUUGUUCGCUGUAUGUCGGGGGAUAUAAUUCAGUGGGACAUCAUUUUCUGUCUCACGAUUCCCGAGCAUGAAACAGCACAGGGGAUGUUCAGUGUGCUGCGUGGCUAUAUUGACGAAAAACAGAUUCCACGGGAUCGAAUGGUGGGCUUUUGCACAGAUGGGGCUUAUUCUAUCACGGGUACGGCGGGCAGGCCUCUGCACUCUAAUUACGAAUACGUCUCCCUCUGCCAUAUGGACACAUUAUAUGAUACACCCACUGAGCUAUAAUGGAUACACCGAGAGCAACUGGCGGCAAAAAAAGCUGAGCGCAGAACUCAGAGAUAUGCAGCAGUUUUCCCGGUUUUGUCCUUUCUGCCUGCCCUGACCCUGAGCCUGCCUGCCAUCCUGUACCUUUGCCCUCUACUCUGGAUUACCAACCUCUACCUGCCCUGAGCCUGCCUGCUGUCCGGUACCUUUGCCCCACUACUCUGGAUUACCGACCUCUGCCUGACCUGAGCCUGCCUGCCGUCCUGUACCUUUGCCUGCCCAUGUUCGAAUUAAUAAACUUUUGUUACUUCGACAUUAUCUGCACCUGGGUCUUACCUUCAAACGUGAGACAAUCCCUGUCCUAGAAUAAGAGUUUCAAGGGAACUGUGGCUGCGUCCAGCCCACAGGCCAGGUUUAUGCUCACUCUCUGGUCACUCUCUGGUCACUCUCUGGUAUUUAGUACAAAGUUUUGGACUUUUGCUCUUUGGAGAACAACAAGAAAAUAAAAAAAAACAUGCAGCUAAAGGCAUUAAACAAUUUCUCUGAUAGAAAAUGUCCUAAGUGGCAUCGAUAUUAGUCAGAAACAUUUAUUUUAUUGUCAGAAUUGACAACAAAGUGUAAAUAGGAUAAUUUAGGAUAACUGAGUUUUGUAAGUGAGUUCAUGACUUGAGAGUUGGGUUUUGAUUUUGACAAACCACUAAAACAGGAUACACAGCUGCGACGAUUGCGCUCUACCCAAUCCUACAGCAGAACACACAGUCAGUAGGCAGGUAUCCAUUGACCCAGGUAUAUUCGACAAAAGCUAAAUAAUUGCAAUGUGUAAUGGAAAUGGCAGAUACAGGAGAAAUGUUCUAUAGAUUGAAAAAAAUAUAUAUUUGUUCGAUAGGGAUGGAUUUGUCUGACUUACUUUACUGCAACAAAUAAUGAUGGAAACUGUGUUUAUCUAAUAAAUUAAUGCUGAAUAAUUUUGAAAGAAUGCCUACGCGGGGCACAUGAUGUCAUCACGUAACUAUAAAGCUCCACAUUUAGUUCUAAAUGCAACUGAAGAAAUUAGAGAGGCUCUGAAUUCAAUGAAAAAAGGGAAAUCACCUGGCCCUGAAGGCCUAUCAGUUGAAUUCUAUAGACAGUUUGGGGAGUUACUAGAAUACCCUAUUUUUAAUAUGUUUCAAGGUUGCAUUAAAAGUGGGGAAAUGGUCUCCACUAUGAAACAGGGCCUUAUUUCAUUGAUUCCGAAGCCCGAUAAAGACCCUUCGCUCAUUGACCAUUGGAGACCAAUUACUUGAUUAAAUAUUGAUUACAAAUUGAUUGCUCUGGUUUAUGCCAAAAGAUUAAAGAAAGGAAUAGAUACCAUUAUAAAUGAGACUCAAACAGGAUUUAUGAAGGGCCGUCACAUAAGCUCUAACAUUCGUUUAGUCUCGGACCUUAUAGAUUAUUCAGAUGCAAUUGACUCAGAUGCGGUUGUCUUAUUUCUGGACUUCUGUAAUGCCUUUGACACAAUUGAACAUGAAUUUCUCUUCAGGUCACUUAAACUUUUUGGAUUCAGUGAAAUUGUUAUCAAAGUCAUUCGCAUGUUUUACAAAGAUAUAAAUAGUUCUGUGUUACUAAACCUUAAUACUUCCAAAAGAUUCAGUAUCAACAGAAGUGUACGACAGGGAUGCCCAAUUUCGCCAUUUUUAUUCAUUUUGGUUGUGGAACUUCUAUCUCUAGAUAUUCUUAAUAAUGCAAAUUUGUAUGGCUUAACCAUUUUUAACAAAGAAAUCACAAUUUCUCAACUGGCUGAUGAUACAACUCUUUUUUUUAAGAGACAAAGACCAGGUUGCCCUUAAUGCUAUAACUGCAUUUUCUAUUGCAUCAGGAUUAAAACUGAAUGUUUCUAAAUGUGAAAUCUUAUGUUUAUUUGACUCUGAUGAUAAAGAAAUAGAAAAUAUUCCUGUAAAGGACUGUGUUAAAUAUUUAGAAAUACAUCUGUCAAAAAAACACUUAGUCAGACAACAUAUGAAUUUCUCUCCUAAAAUUAAGAAAACCAAAAAUAUAUUUAAUAAUUGGCUACAAAGAGAUCUUUCUAUACUUGGGAGAGUACUUCUGUCCAAGGCAGAGGGACUGUCUCGUUUUGUGUACCCCUCAUUAUCUUUAUUUGUAAAUCCUUCUACUUGUAAAGAGAUCAAUAAGACCUUUCUUGACUUCAUCUGGAAAAAUAAGUCUCACAAACUAAAAAAGUCAGUCCUUUCUAAUAAAAGAGCUGAAGGCGGUCUGGAAGUGUUGGAUUUUGUUGACAUAAAUAACUCUUUCAAGAUCAACUGGUUGAAAAGAUGAUUGAUCAAUACUAAUUCAAUAUGGUAUUUCAUUCCAAAUAAUGUGUUUAAUACAUUGGGAGGUCUUCAAUUUUUACUGAAAUGUAAUUAUAUUCCUGAAAGAUUACCCGCUAAAUUGGCUAGGUUUCACCAACAAGCUUUAAUGGCCUGGAAAAUAUGUUUCCUGCACAAUUCUUCCCCACAUAAAGAUCGUUUGUGGAAUAAUUCAGACAUAACUGUAAGGAAUAAGUCAUUGUUCUACCCCAGCUGGCAUGAGAGGAAUAUUGACUUUGUUCUUAAUGUUUUCGACAACAGGGGCAAUAUUCUUACAUAUGAAUAAUUUAUAACAUUGAAAGAGUUUCCAAUACCUUUCAGAGAGUGAUCAAAGCCAUUCCCAGUGGUCUAACUACACUAAUGAAAACUCAUCUUAGCUUUAGUAAUGAUCACAAAGCUUAUCCAGAACUCAGAUGGAAGGUGUGGGCUUACUUGAGAGAUCUAGUUGUAAUAAAUAUAAAAGACAAAUUCACUAUUCACAAAACCAACUAACACUGAGAGGAACAUUUUUCUCGAACAUGCUUAUUGCUGACAUUGUCUGGAAAAUGCAUGGUUAAGGCCUUACAAAUAUUGUAUACCAAACAAAGUUACGGAAGUGCACUUUAAAAUUUUACAUAAGACAUAUCCAUGUAAUUUUAUGUUAUCCAAAUUUGUGGCUAUUGAUGAUAUCUGCGUUUUCUGUGAAAAAGAAGGUGAAAAUAUAUCUCACUUGUUCUUUGAAAAAAUUUGUGUCAGAAGUUUGGGAAAACCUUGCAAAAUACAUAUUUACCAUUAUGAACACCACCCAUGUUUUGACAUGAAGAAUAUAAUAUGCUACUAUUGCAAUGAUAACAAGACCAUUGAAAUUAUUGUGAAUGUUUUUAUUCUUGUUACAAAAUACUUUAUACACAAACAAAAAUUCCAAAAUUCUAUACCAAAAUAACACAUAUUUCUGAUUGAAUUUAACUAUCUUAUUAAAACAUUAACCCUAGUGAAUAACAAUAAGAAUAACAUUU